UACAGGGGGGGCAAGCGUUGUUCGGAAUUACUGGGCGUAAAGGGUCUGUAGGUGGCCAACUAAGUCAGACGUGAAAUCCCUCAGCUUAACUGGGGAACUGCGUCUGAUACUGGAUGGCUCGAGUGUGGGAGAGGAAUGCGGAAUUCCAGGUGUAGCGGUGAAAUGCGUAGAUAUCGGGAGGAACACCAAUUGCGAAGGCAGCUCGCUGGGACGUUACUGACGCUGAGACGCGAAAGCGUGGGGAGCAAACAGG
RNAcentral lists this ribosomal RNA (253 nucleotides) under uncultured bacterium. RNAcentral's name for it is "partial 16S ribosomal RNA". It matches the Rfam family "Bacterial small subunit ribosomal RNA", at positions 524 to 776 of the family's 1533-position model. The record is from RNAcentral.